This 394-nucleotide unclassified non-coding RNA is filed under the name soil metagenome. RNAcentral describes it as "partial contains 5.8S ribosomal RNA, internal transcribed spacer 2, and large subunit ribosomal RNA". The stretch from base 1 to 122 matches the Rfam family "5.8S ribosomal RNA", at positions 35 to 154 of the family's 154-position model. The record is from RNAcentral.
GAUGAAGAACGUAGCGAAAUGCGAUACCUGGUGUGAAUUGCAGAAUCCCGCGAACCAUCGAGUCUUUGAACGCAAGUUGCGCCCGAGGCCACCCGGCCGAGGGCACGCCUGCCUGGGCGUCACGCCAAAACACGCUCCCACCCCCCCUCACCGGGGGAGCGGGACGCGGCGUCUGGCCCCCCGUGCCGCGAGGCGCGGUGGGCCGAAGAUCGGGCUGCCGGCGUACCGUGCCGGGCACAGCGCGUGGUGGAUCUCUACUCGGCGCAGUGCACCCGGCGCGUAGCCGGCGCAGAGGCCCCUAAGGACCCAACGAACGGAGCGCGAGCCGCUCCGACCGCGACCCCAGGUCAGGCGGGACUACCCGCUGAGUUUAAGCAUAUCAAUAAGCGGAGGA